UACGUAGGGUGCAAGCGUUAAUCGGAAUUACUGGGCGUAAAGCGUGCGCAGGCGGUUUUGUAAGCCAGAUGUGAAAUCCCCGGGCUUAACCUGGGAAUGGCAUUUGGGACUGCAAGGCUUGAGUGCGGCAGAGGAGACUGGAAUUCCCGGUGUAGCAGUGAAAUGCGUAGAUAUCGGGAGGAAUACCGAUGGCGAAGGCAGGUCUCUGGGCUGACACUGACGCUCAUGCACGAAAGCGUGGGGAGCAAACAGG
RNAcentral lists this ribosomal RNA (253 nucleotides) under uncultured bacterium. Its description in RNAcentral is "partial 16S ribosomal RNA". It matches the Rfam family "Bacterial small subunit ribosomal RNA", at positions 524 to 776 of the family's 1533-position model. The record is from RNAcentral.